RNAcentral lists this long non-coding RNA (459 nucleotides) under Phoenix dactylifera (date palm). Its description in RNAcentral is "long non-coding RNA (PDAC_LNC002395)". The record is from RNAcentral. Lineage: Eukaryota; Viridiplantae; Streptophyta; Magnoliopsida; Arecales; Arecaceae.
CCUCCUCCUCCUCCUCCUCCUCCUCCUAUAUAUACAUAAUUAAAGAGUUCAUUCCUUACCCCUCCCACCACCAGGAUGAGUUCAAGGAAAACCAGGUCCUUCUUUUUAUGGCCGCUCGUGGCUUCCGCCUGCUUUCUUCUUUCUGUUGCCUUCUUUCCUAAUAACCCUUACAAGGUCACCCCACAAAAAGAUCUCGAUCAAAGAGAAGACCCAAAACAAAAGCUUACUUCGCAUAACUCUACCAAAGGUAUGAUCCUCGAGAAAACAAAUGAUUCUUAUUUAUCUUUUCUGAUUACUAUCGAAAUGGUUUAUUUGAUUAAUAUAUAUUUGAAUAUGCAGCCUUUUAGUUUGGAUUGAUGAUGACUGGUUUUAUUGUGCAGUUAAAAUGGGUUGUGAUUUUUCCAAAGGUAAAUGGGUACCAGAUUCUGGAGGACCUGCUUACACUAACGCUACGUGCCG